Molecule: ribosomal RNA, 256 nt
Filed under: uncultured bacterium
Lineage: Bacteria
Description: partial 16S ribosomal RNA
Rfam family: Bacterial small subunit ribosomal RNA
Source: RNAcentral
UACGAAGGGGGCUAGCGUUGUUCGGAAUUACUGGGCGUAAAGGGCGCGUAGGCGGUGUGUCAAGUCAGGCGUGAAAUCCCCGGGCUCAACCUGGGAAUUGCAUUUGUGACUGCACGGCUAGAGUGUGUCAGAGGGGGGUAGAAUUCCACGUGUAGCAGUGAAAUGCGUGAGGUAUGCGGAGGAACACCGAUGGCGAAGGCAAUCCCCUGGGCCUGCACUGACGCUCGAUGACACGAAAGCGUGGGGAGCAAACAGG